AGGUCGGCAGACCACCUAGGCGUCACCGCCCCGUAAGGGGAGCUAAACCUGCCA
This is a non-coding RNA of Rhizobium sp., 54 nucleotides long. The record is from Rfam. Lineage: Bacteria; Pseudomonadati; Pseudomonadota; Alphaproteobacteria; Hyphomicrobiales; Rhizobiaceae.